GGGGAUUUAGCUCAGCGGUAGAGCGCUUGCCUAGCAAGCGCAAGGCUCUGGGUUCGAUCCCCAGCUCCG
RNAcentral lists this transfer RNA (69 nucleotides) under Rattus norvegicus (Norway rat). It matches the Rfam family "tRNA". Rfam says of the family: Transfer RNA (tRNA) molecules are approximately 80 nucleotides in length. Lineage: Eukaryota; Metazoa; Chordata; Mammalia; Rodentia; Muridae. The record is from Rfam by way of RNAcentral.